CCAGGAAGCAGGCGCUGCAGGGGACGGAAGGGUCGGAGCCCACAGCCGGGGGAGGCCAAGGAGCUGGGCGGAGGCACUCCAGGCCAGCCCGGGGAGAACUCUGGGCUUUCCCAGCUCCGAAGUCAAUACUGAGAUCCCAGAUGUGUCCAGAGACAUCCUGAAGAGGCUCGGGGGUGGAGGAGCCUUAGUGUGUCCACAAAGGGACUCCUGAAACUGACUGAGAGCCAGUGGAUUUGCCAGCAGUCUGAGCUUCUACCGAGUCUUCCCCCACCUCAAUCCCUGUUGCUAUGGAGACUACCAAUGGAACGGAGACCUGGUAUGAGAGCCUGCAUGCCGUGCUGAAGGCUCUAAAUGCCACUCUUCACAGCAAUUUGCUCUGCCGGCCAGGGCCAGGGCUGGGGCCAGACAACCAGACUGAAGAGAGGCGGGCCAGCCUACCUGGCCGUGAUGACAACUCCUACAUCACAGGUGAGUCUGGUCUCUCCUCUCAUUAGAAUAAUAUCCAAGAUUUCGGUUUAGGCAUAGAAGAAAUAGACAAAGCAAGGCUUUCAGCCAAACUUGUAUGGAAAAAGAAUCUUCUUUCAGGUGCUGCUAAGAAACCAAGAACAUUAUUUCCCUGGAUGAAAUGAGAGAACCAUCUGUGGAAGUGGUUGAACUGUGAUGGAGAAUGAGCUCCUGGGAACAAGAAAGUCAGAAAUUCAUGAACAGGAAAGAAAAAUUAAUAUUUGAUGAACAACUGAAUUCCUCACUGCCUGUUGCCCUGGGACACAGGGAGCUGUCUCACCAAGGUUACAGCUCCUUCUUGGAGCGGCUCACAACCAAUGAGGAGCUGAUACAGGGAUCCAAAGGUCUGAUUCCAUCACUGAUUUGGGGCAACUCUGAGAGGCCAUCUUGGCUCCAGAAUUCCCCAUAGGAUCAGCUGAGGCUUCAGUGGCAACCACAUUGUGAAUUAGCUUCUUCCUCCGCCCACCCCUGCUUUCUCACUUCCUAUUUCCCAAGAGUACUUCCCCCAACAACCUUCUGCAUGCGAUUCUCCAUUUCAGUCUGUUUCCAAGAGAAUCCAUCCCUUCCUCAAGAACUGUGCCCUAACAUGGAGUCCAUUCCAAAGUCAGUACCAGUGAUAAUUGAGCAAUGGGAUGAUAGAAUGUAGAUGAGGCAGUUAGUGGUUCCAGCAAACCAAAAAGAUGGCAAGGCAGUGAGAGACCAGCAGUGUAGGAAACAGCCAGCUAUAUUCAUUGAAAAAGAAGAACUAGCCACUAGAGGGCCCAACACUACAGGUUUACAGCUCUGCUGCUACUUUUUAGAGCACAGAAUUUUGCCCUUCAUCUGGCAGACAUCCAGUGUAAUUGUCUACACAGUGGGGGAACAUUGUUGGCCAUGCUUCCUUCUCUUUUACCUAUUCUGGAGACACCAGUGUCCUGGCCUGUUCCAAUACCCCAGCACCAAGCCCCCGUGCCAUUACAUAUGAGCCUAUUCCCAUAAAUCAAGGCUUCCAGAGCCUGUUUUUAAUACCCACUGUUCUCAUUGUUUCAAGGGACUCUGAAGAUGUGAAAUGUGAAAUCCAAAUAAUUGGUUGUGACCAUCCUCACCUAGGAAUGGAGAGAAUCAGCAACAUAUUGUCUAGUUCUGCCACUUUCUCUACCCCCCAUCCCCCCACCCACCAAUUUGUAAUAAAGAUAAGACACACAGACUUAGAUGCAAAAUAUAGUAGCCAAGGGAGAAAGGGGAUAUGAGAGCCUUCUCAGAAGAUGAAAAAGUUUGAGAACAUUGUAUAAUUGAGUGAAUUAAUGAAUUAUUUCUACCAUGGAUUUAUUUAAAGACUUAAAGGAAAUUUUCUUCUGUACCCUAUUUGGAAGGACAGUCCUUUGUAGGUUGGGGGACUUCCCUUACCUCAGGAGGAAAAUAUUGGGAGGUCUCUAUAAAUUUCUCAAGGGUCAGAGUUAGAUUGUCUGUGAGAGGGAAAACUCUGAGGAUUAAAGGGACAAGAGCUGGAUUCUACAAGACCAGGAGGAUGGAGGGGUGGUGGAAGUCAGCCCGUGAACUCUCCCCCAUUGCCCUCAUAGUAUCUCUGGCAGUGAUGACUACAAAGACACCUGGGGGAUAGUUACCAAACCAUAGCUUUGGGACCAUACAGGAGUUCUGGGUGGCCAGGUUUACAAUGGAAGCAGUAAAUAUCUUACGCAAGUGGGCCAGAUACCUCUGGCUGCUCCACACCUGCUUGGACAAUGAGCACCUUCACCACAACUGCAAUGGACUGAGAUGGUCCCCCAGGUUUUCCGGAUUGGGUAAGCCCUGGGGUUUUUGCAUCCCCACAAAGUCUCUGAAAUUAGAUGUUCCACAAACCUGGCAGGUGGGGGUGAAGCUAAAUUUAAUUGGAUUUGAAUUAGACAGAUAAAAGUUUGAUUUGAUUCAGAAAUAAAUAAAUAAAUAUAAUGUUCUUCUACUUGCUAUAGAGCAAAUUAAAUGGGUUACAAUAUUGGGAGCUCUGACAUCGCAAUAGCAAACCUAGCCUGGCCCGGUUAAUAAAAGAAUAGUAAUACUCUAUUGAGGGGUUGCCACGUGUUAGGCAGUGCAUUCUUUCAUUUAAUCCUCACAAUAUACCUAUGAGGUAGACUGAGACUUAGAGAAGUCAAGUGGGUUGCCCAAGGUCACAUGGUUAGUAAAUGGCAAACCAAGUUUGUUGGACUCCAUGUCUAACUUCUAUAGCCAUUCAUUCCCUGUUGUCUAGCCAUUCAUUGACUGACAUCUAAUCCAUCAUUUACUAAUCUGUUUAGCCAGAUAUGCACUCAGACAGUAAAUAGAAUUAACAGUUAUUCUGUUCCUUAAACAUUGAGACAGAUCUAGUUGUAGUUUAGAGAACAAAAGAAUCUUAGAAUCAUAGAAUGUUUGCACUGGCAGCUGGUCUAGAGGGAAGAGCAAAGCUUUAGAACCAGGUGGACUAGCUUGGAAUGUUGGCUCUGCUAUUCAUUCUGUAUAUGACCUUGAGCAAUUUAUUUAACCUAAUUCUCAGCUUCCAUAUCUGUAUAUCACAAAUAUAUGCACAUUCUCUCUAGACUAAUAUGAAGAGUAGAGAUAAUGUCACAUGGAACAAGUGCAAAAAUGCAAGUCCCAGCACAAAAUGAAAAUGCUGGCACCUUGUUCAAAAAUUACCGAUAAUUUAAAGAUGGUGACAGCAGAGUAUUAAACCAAGUGUGGGGGCCCUUGUAAGCAUAGGCCAUGGUGGCACAUCCACAGCCUGGCACAGAGUGGGUCUGCAAUAAAUUGUAGUCCUUUUUCUCUCUAGAUCACUGAUUAUAACCCUCUCCUUUUGCAGAUGAGGAAACUGGAGUCCAAAGAAGAGUUUAAAAAUGCAAAUCAGGGCCGGGCACGGGGGCUCAUACCUGUAAUCCCAGCACUUUGGGAGGCCAAGGUGGGUAGAUCAUGAGGUCAGGAGUUCGAGACCAGCCUGGCCAACCUGGUGAAACACCGUCUCUAUUAAAAAUUAAAAAAUUAGCCAGGUUCAGUGGCAUGUGCCUGUGAUCCCAGCUACUCAGGAGGCUAAGACAGGAGAAUCGCUUGAAUCCGGGAGGCAGAGGUUGCAGUGAGCUGAGUUCACCCUACUGCACUCCAGCCUGGGCAAUAGAGCAAGACUCCUUCUUGGUGGAGGGGGGGAACACAACUUAGUACCAGAGCCAAGACCACAACCAGACCUCCUUUGUUCCUAGCCAGUGGUCUUUACCCAGCAUUUCCAAAGCCUGUGUUCUAUAUGAUGAUAAUAGAUAUUCCAUGUAUAAAAGUUUCCAUCAACAAGCAAGUUUAUAAAACACUGGAUUAAGAUUAAAGAGACAUCUUUUGCAGAGCUCUUCAGAGACUUUUAUGUGCAACAGGAGUCUCCAAGACAGGGAUAUAAUAUGAAACAUUGCACAAAAGUAUUUGAUGUGGGACCCUUUUGCAGGAGCAUAUUAAGCGUCUCUCAGAACUCUUUCAGAAAUGCCACUCUAAACACUGCCCCAGGGUGAUGGAAGUUUCCAUGGGUUUUGAUCUGUGGGGUGUGGUUGUUUUUAUUCUAAAUUAGAAGCAAAUAUAUUAUUUCCACUAGUCCUUUCUGUCAGCAUCCCUGUCCCAGCUGACUUGUGAGCCUGAGGAUAUAAAGAUAAUGAAAACCAGACUCCAGGAAAAGCACACUUGUUUAGAGUCACCCAGCUGCAUCCAUAAGGCAGAUGCAAUAUGCCUCUCUCCCAAGAGUAGAACACAGACAAAACAUACACUAGGAUCCCAAAAUUCUUUCCAUUCUGGGUAAUUUGCUCACAGACAUCACAUUGCAAAAGUAAUAGCCAAAGUCCCCUAUAAAGUCACAUAAGAAGCUGGGAAAUCAGGAUUCUUAUCUCAGCACCUUCAUUUAUUAGCUGUUUGACCUAAAUUGAUCAAUUCAUCAGCUCGUCACUUUGCUUUUAUCAAAUACCUUCUUGCAUCAAAUUAAAUUAAUUUCUCCCUUUGUUGAACUACCAUUAUUUCAUCUGUAGCACUCUCCCCCCAGGACUUUGAGAAUCUCUAUGGAAUGUAGUUUGAAAAUCAGCAGAUUGGAUGAUUACUAUAGAUCAUCCAGUCUAUAUGGAUGGAUGAAAUCUAUACAGAAUCUAUAGGGAAAGGAACUAUAGUUCCUUUCAGCUAUAAUAGUCUGUGAUUCAAAUUUAUAUACAGUUUUGCGACCUAUUGCCUCUGCCUAUUAACCAAGGACCCUAGUUCCCUGAGAAAUGCACCUCUUAAUUUCUGAGAGGCCUGGAGAGUGAUUCUCACAUGCUGAAUUGAUGAGAUGCCAGGUGACUUGGACACUUCUGGAGUUCCCAGUACAUAGCAUCUGUUACAUGGAAUGCAUGGAGGUGAGGAAACUCUCUCUCCCCAUCGUGCUAUACUUUGUCACAUGGGUUUCUAAUGGGUAAUAUUUAUGUCCUUUGCUUUCAGUAAAGCAGCUCUUCUAUAUUUUGCUGAUUCCUUCCUAACCCCAGUUUCCCUCUACAAAUUCCUAAGCCUGAGCUGCAGCAAGGUCAAGAAACAAAUCUGUAUGACAAACCUAAUGUUAAAUGUUGGCUCAUUCCUCCUUGAUUUUGAAGAUUCUAUUACUGGAUCCAUGUUGCCUAUCUCCUUACUUUCCUUAAGAUGAGUUCUCUCCCAGGAGAGACCCAAAGCCCUCACAAAAAAUGGACUUUGGGUGAGUUGGGCCUACUAGGUCGAAUAUGCCCAAUUGGUUCCUCCAGGAAGCAGAUGCCAAAAUGGAGUGAGAAGUGCCAGAAAUGUACUGGGGCGGGGAAUGCCUGUGAGGGAGCAGGAGUAGAUGCGGGAGCCUCAGAUGGUGAUGCAGAUCUGACACCAGCGAAAAAAAGAGGGAAGGAAGAAGGACCAGGCAGGAGGAGCGUCAGGUUUCAAUGCAGCUCUGAGAAAGUCUCAGCCAGGCUGAUGAGGAGCCCCAGAGCAGAGACUGCCCAUUACAGGAGUCCCAUGUUGGGCAGGAAUGGCUUGACUUUCAUACGUCUGCAGAGCUUGGUCAGUGGCAGGGAGAAGGCCAGGGUGAGCAUAACCGGGGUGUAAACACUGCAGGAGAGCCCAAAGGUGCUGCUGCCUGAGGCCGGCCACUAACUGCUCUUCUCCCAGCAGGCUCCCUGUGGGAGACCUGAACAGCUCACUCCUGGUGGCUGCCAUAUCACGAAUACCCACACCUGUGUGAAUUCCAAAAGUGGACAUAAUUUAAGCUCAAACGGAGCCCCAAAUGUACAUUUAUUACAAUUUUUUGUUGAGUGUACAAAAAGUAUUGCACUUGGCACAGCAGCAGCCCCACCCUCACCAGUGGAACAAUCGAAGCGAAAAAGGACUAGUCUGGGAAGGUUUCAGGUAAACAAGUGAGUUUUUCUUACCAUGAUUGUCAACAACAGCCUCCAUUAUAGAUUAACACUGUGUCAAGCUUAGUACGAGAGAACAAUUCUCAGGGAGCUUAAGUUUGCAAUAAAAUAUUCCUCACACGAGGCGCUCAGAGCAGACUUUUGAAGAGUUUACAUGCCAAUCACUGGAUGCUCCAAGGAGGGAGGAGCUUCUUAGUAGAACUGGCCCUGGAGGCUACCAGAGAGACCUUGAAAUUGAUCUGGCAGCCAACUGGGUGGUGCAAGGACAUGCUCCACCCCUAGGACCCUGCCAGCCAAGCUGUAGGAUUUUUUGAGAGGCAGGCCCAACACCUGUUGUGGCUGCUGGAUGAGAUUCAAAAUAUAAGGAGAAAAGACAGAAGAGGAAGGAACUGGAAAAGAGGAAUUUGUAGCUAGAAGAAGAAAGACAGCACGCUUUUCAGAACCGUGCCAGAAUUCAUCCCAGGCUAAUCACCUGCCAAAAAAGAGAUAGUGUCAGUGGUAGAAAGAACAUUGGAGAGGACACUUAAGCUCUGCUGCUAACUCCUCAGCUGACCUUUGUCACUCAAUGCCCCUCUGGGCCUGUGCUCCUUGGCUGUAAUCUGCAGAGCUAAGCCAGACACCUAAAAUUCUUCCAUUUGAACAGUCUAGGAAUCGAACAACCUUCCUUAAAAUAAUCUUGGAA
Molecule: long non-coding RNA, 6555 nt
Filed under: Homo sapiens (human)
Lineage: Eukaryota; Metazoa; Chordata; Mammalia; Primates; Hominidae
Description: HSALNT0363766
Source: RNAcentral